GGAGAAAAGCAGGGGAUCGCAAGACCUUGCGCUCUUGGAGCGGCCGAUGCCUGAUUAGCUAGUUGGUGAGGUAAAGGCUUACCAAGGCGACGAUCAGUAGCUGGUCUGAGAGGACGACCAGCCACACUGGGACUGAGACACGGCCCAGACUCCUACGGGAGGCAGCAGUGGGGAAUUUUGGACAAUGGGGGAAACCCUGAUCCAGCCAUGCCGCGUGAGUGAAGAAGGCCUUCGGGUUGUAAAGCUCUUUCAGCCGGAACGAAACGGUCACGGCUAAUACCUGUGACUACUGACGGUACCGGAAGAAGAAGCACCGGCUAACUACGUGCCAGCAGCCGCGGUAAUGCGUAGGGUGCAAGCGUUAAUCGGAAUUACUGGGCGUAAAGCGUGCGCAGGCGGUUUUGUAAGUCAGAUGUGAAAUCCCCGGGCUUAACCUGGGAACUGCGUUUGAAACUACAAAGCUAG
RNAcentral lists this ribosomal RNA (465 nucleotides) under uncultured bacterium. RNAcentral describes it as "bacterial SSU rRNA". It matches the Rfam family "Bacterial small subunit ribosomal RNA", at positions 198 to 644 of the family's 1533-position model. The record is from RNAcentral.